UUGACCUCGGAUCAGGUAGGAAUACGCGCUGAACUUAAGCA
RNAcentral lists this ribosomal RNA (41 nucleotides) under Phialophora verrucosa. Its description in RNAcentral is "partial 26S rRNA". Lineage: Eukaryota; Fungi; Ascomycota; Eurotiomycetes; Chaetothyriales; Herpotrichiellaceae. The record is from RNAcentral.